UACGAAGGGUGCAAGCGUUACUCGGAAUUACUGGGCGUAAAGGGUGCGUAGGUGGUUCGUUAAGUCUGAUGUGAAAGCCCUCGGCUCAACCUGGGAAUUGCAUUGGAUACUGGCGGGCUAGAGUGCGGUAGAGGGUAGUGGAAUUCCCGGUGUAGCAGUGAAAUGCGUAGAUAUCGGGAGGAACAUCCGUGGCGAAGGCGACUGCCUGGACCAGCACUGACACUGAGGCACGAAAGCGUGGGGAGCAAACAGGAUUAGAUACCCU
Molecule: ribosomal RNA, 265 nt
Filed under: uncultured prokaryote
Description: partial 16S ribosomal RNA
Rfam family: Bacterial small subunit ribosomal RNA
Source: RNAcentral